RNAcentral lists this ribosomal RNA (254 nucleotides) under uncultured bacterium. RNAcentral describes it as "partial 16S ribosomal RNA". It matches the Rfam family "Bacterial small subunit ribosomal RNA", at positions 524 to 776 of the family's 1533-position model. The record is from RNAcentral.
UACGAAGGGGGCUAGCGUUGCUCGGAAUCACUGGGCGUAAAGGGUGCGUAGGCGGGUCUUUUAAGUCAGGGGUGAAAUCCCGGAGCUCAACUUCGGAACUGCCUCUGAUACAGCACGUCUUGAGUCCGGAAGAGGUGGGUGGAAUUCCUAGUGUAGAGGUGAAAUUCGUAGAUAUUAGGAAGAACACCGGUGGCGAAGGCGGCCCACUGGUCCGGUACUGACGCUGAGGUGCGAAAGCGUGGGGAGCAAACAGG